This 500-nucleotide ribosomal RNA is filed under the name uncultured bacterium. RNAcentral describes it as "partial 16S ribosomal RNA". It matches the Rfam family "Bacterial small subunit ribosomal RNA", at positions 30 to 523 of the family's 1533-position model. The record is from RNAcentral.
AUUGAACGCUGGCGGAAUGCUUUACACAUGCAAGUCGAACGGCAGCACGGACUUCGGUCUGGUGGCGAGUGGCGAACGGGUGAGUAAUGUAUCGGAACGUGCCCAGUCGUGGGGGAUAACGUAGUGAAAAUUACGCUAAUACCGCAUACGAUCUAUGGAUGAAAGCGGGGGAUCGCAAGACCUCGCGCGAUUGGAGCGGCCUAUAUCAGAUUAGGUAGUUGGUGGGGUAAAGGCCCACCAAGCCAACGAUCUGGAGCUGGUCUGAGAGGACGACCAGCCACACUGGAACUGAGACACGGUCCAGACUCCUACGGGAGGCAGCAGUGGGGAAUUUUGGACAAUGGGCGAAAGCCUGAUCCAGCCAUUCCGCGUGCAGGAUGAAGGCCCUCGGGUUGUAAGCUGCUUUUGUACAGAACGAAAAGGUUUCUACUAAUACUAGGAGCUCAUGACGGUACUGUAAGAAUAAGCACCGGCUAACUACGUGCCAGCCGCCGCAGUAA